RNAcentral lists this long non-coding RNA (447 nucleotides) under Phaseolus vulgaris (common bean). RNAcentral describes it as "long non-coding RNA (PVUL_LNC001624)". The record is from RNAcentral. Lineage: Eukaryota; Viridiplantae; Streptophyta; Magnoliopsida; Fabales; Fabaceae.
AAAAUUUGAGUAUAGUUUCUUUAGUCUAAAUUCAAAUCUGAAAUGUACAAGGGAAGCACCUAUAUUUAUAGCCUAGAGGUGCUGAAAAUCAAACUAAAAGAAUUCAAAAUUCCCUCCUAAAAGCUACUAGAACCGACGCCUAAACCCAUGCAUGAGGAAGGUGUGACCUCUUCCUUCACUUUGGCACCUCCUUAUUUACACCUACAACUAUCUACUAACGCACCCCCCUCCUAAAGCUCCUAACUAAAGACUAAAAGAUGCUUUAACAAUAGAGGUUUCUAAUGUUUCCCUCUAAGCACCUUCAACCAAAGAAAUUACAAAAAGAGAAAAUAAUUGUCCCCUAGCUCCUAAAGCUUUGAACAUGCUUCUUGUAAGCCUUUGAGGUGGGCUUUGACCUCCAUGGGCGUCCUCCAUUUGAGCCUCUACCUCUUCUUGAUCUUGUUGAUU